AGUCAGGCAGUAUAUUAGAGGUAUGGGGAGUAGGGUCAUGUGGUAGGGCCGAAGAGCAGUCAGGGAGUAUAUUAGAGGUAUGGGGAGUAGGGUCAUGGAGUAGGGCUGAAGAGCAGUCAGGGAGUAUAUUAGAGGUAUGGGGAGUAGGGCCAGGUGGUAGGGCUGAAGAGCAGUCAGGGAGUAUAUUAGAGGUAUGGGGAGUAGGGUCAUGGGGUAGGGUCGAAGAGCAGGCAGGGAGUAUAUUAGAGGUAUGGGGAGUAGGGUCAUGGGGUAGGGUAAAAAAGCAGGCAGGGAGUAUAUUAGAGGUAUGGGGAGUAGGG
Salvelinus fontinalis (brook trout) is the source of this 320-nucleotide long non-coding RNA. RefSeq lists it as uncharacterized. The transcript has 3 exons. Lineage: Eukaryota; Metazoa; Chordata; Actinopteri; Salmoniformes; Salmonidae. The record is from RefSeq and is a predicted model, not a curated record.